UAGGGAAUCUUCGGCAAUGGACGGAAGUCUGACCGAGCAACGCCGCGUGAGUGAAGAAGGUUUUCGGAUCGUAAAGCUCUGUUGUUAGAGAAGAACGUUGGUAGGAGUGGAAAAUCUACCAAGUGACGGUAACUAACCAGAAAGGGACGGCUAACUACGUGCCAGCAGCCGCGGUAAUACGUAGGUCCCGAGCGUUGUCCGGAUUAAUUGGGCGUAAAGCGAGCGCAGGCGGUUCUUUAAGUCUGAAGUUAAAGGCAGUGGCUUAACCAUUGUACGCUUUGGAAACUGGAGGACUUGAGUGCAGAAGGGGGGAGUGGAAUUCCAUGUGUAGCGGUGAAAUGCGUAGAUAUAUGGAGGAACACCGGUGGCGAAAGCGGCUCUCUGGUCUGUAACUGACGCUGAGGCUCGAAAGCGUGGGGAGCAAACAGG
Molecule: ribosomal RNA, 429 nt
Filed under: Bacillota bacterium
Lineage: Bacteria; Bacillati; Bacillota
Description: Firmicutes bacterium partial 16S ribosomal RNA
Rfam family: Bacterial small subunit ribosomal RNA
Source: RNAcentral